Molecule: long non-coding RNA, 576 nt
Organism: Mirounga angustirostris (Northern elephant seal)
Lineage: Eukaryota; Metazoa; Chordata; Mammalia; Carnivora; Phocidae
Exons: 3
Source: RefSeq, a predicted model, not a curated record
ACAUCUUUCUCCAAACCUAUGUAAGAAAUGAGUACUUUUUUCUUCUAGAAAUAAUGACUCCUGCACACCGGUGUGAAUACUCAGUGAACUGCCAAGUCGUGCAGUGCUUCUGCGCUGACCACAGCCAGCUCUGCUUGAACACAGGGUCUUGGCAAACUCCCGGCAAGGCCUGUGUGACGUCACCGAAUUUCCAUCUUUUAUUAUCAAGCACACUUUGAAUACAUACUUGCUUUGGCUGUUUCCAAGGCAGUAUACAAACUUUUCCUCAGAUAAAAGCUGGCAAAUGUAAUGGAGGACCAAAGGAAAAGUGCAGGCAAGCACAUGAGCCCGAGAACUAACAACGGUAUCCCCUUUACAGUGCCUGGCCACCUGGGCUCAGUGCUGGGGACUCUUGGUUCUCUCCUCAGCCACCUGCCAUGUUCCAGGGGCAGGGCCUGGCCUACUUGGGGCAGGUGGCAAAAAGGAAAUGAGGCCUGGCUGAGCAACACAGACACCGCUAGGCUGCUGAAGAUGACCGGCAAUACGACCUAGGGGAGUUGCUCGCAGUUCUAAAGAUUCACAGAGCGGAAUUAGAAA